This is a long non-coding RNA of Neofelis nebulosa (Clouded leopard), 955 nucleotides long. RefSeq lists it as uncharacterized. The transcript has 2 exons. Lineage: Eukaryota; Metazoa; Chordata; Mammalia; Carnivora; Felidae. The record is from RefSeq and is a predicted model, not a curated record.
AUCAACUAAUUCACUGAAUAUAAUAUUCACUGGAGGGAGGGAGGCUUAUCAUUAAGUGGGUGCUCUGGCCAAGUCAGGGUCUGCUGAAAAAACAAAGUAAACUGACACUGAGGUCAGAGCAGGGCCAGACAAGAGACAACUGUGACCUAAAACAGUGUCAGGAACGUCACCAAAGGACAACAGUGCGGAGAAACCUAGAAGAAUUGCCACUUGACAAUUCACAACACAGAACUGAGACGUUCCGGGCUGUGCCAAAGUUCCGGGCACAUCUUUCCUUGCAGGAAGCCAAAGCUCCCUACAUAGGCCUGUCGGUUCCAGAACGCCUCAGGAAGGCAGGAAAUGGCUCAGAGGCAGGACCACGACCAUCUACGAUGUGAGAUCUCUGGCCUCUGGGUCUCCUGACUGCUAGGUCAGCACUCCAGCAGGCUCCUUGGGUGAGCCAGACCCCCAUCUACCAUGCUAUGGGACUGGUUUCACUUUCUAUCCUCAGAACUGUCUUCACUGACACCAAGAAGCAAACGACAGAGGGGUGGGUCUUCAGGAGACCCAGAAUAAAGAGAGCAAGUAGAGAGUUCAAACAUCCCUGAUACAGUUGAGCAGAAAAGAGACUAAGGAAGAACGAAAAGAGGAGAAGGACUCAGAUGAGACUUACAUUAAAAGAAGAAAUGGAUAACCUGGCUUCACCACUUUCGAAACACUCCGUUCAUCAGUAAACAGCAACCUCUUCUUCUUAGAGACUUCCCCGCCAUCCGCGACAGCCUCGUCUCUACGGCCUGACUCCGAUCCUGCACCUGGCUAUGCACGACAACAGGCCGGUGUUUAAGCCCUCCAGCUGCUGUACCAGGUGAUGAGUCAGGGUUUUCAGUUGGAAACAAAUGACAAAGUUAUCUUCUGAUUCAGAAAGACAGCUGACACUUCAGACAUGUGAGUGCUGAGUAAACAGCACCUCCUUCUA